AUGGUGGAGAUGGUGCUGAGCAUGGCGAGGUCCAUGCUGGGGGGAGCCAUCAGCACGGCCGCCUCUGCCACUGCCGCAGAGAUGAGCCUCCUCAUGGGUGUACGCAAGGAUAUCUGGUUCAUCAAGGACGAGCUAGAGACCAUGCAGGCAUUCCUGGCAGCCGCUGAAGCAAUGAAAGAGAAAGACAUGCUACUAAAGGUGUGGGCGAAGCAAGUAAGAGACCUAUCCUACAAUAUCGAAGAUUGCCUUGGUGAAUUCAUGGUGCAUGUGGCGAGUCAAAGCUUGUCGCGGAAGCUGAUGAAGCUCAAAGACCGCCAUCGAAUGGCUGUGCAGAUCCGCGAUCUCAAAUCAAGAGUUGAAGAGGUGAGCAGUAGGAACACACGCUACAAUUUGAUCACAACCAAGGCCUCCAACAACGUUGACGAGGUGAAGUCCAACAUGGAAGAUGUUCGCAAACACUCGGGUAGCAACAUUGAUGAAGCAGAGCUUGUGGGCUUUGAUAAGCCUAAGAAGGAAUUGAUUAAUCUCCUGGAUCUCAACACCGAAGUUGGUCUCGCCAAUGUGAUAUGUGUCGCGGGCAUGGGUGGUUUAGGCAAGACCACUCUUGCACGGAAAACAUAUGAAAGUAAGGAAGAUAUUGUGAAGAAUUUUUCUUAUCGUGCUUGGAUCACAGUAUCACAAUCAUUUUCUAAGAUAGAGAUGCUCAAGGAUAUGAUCCAGCAGUUUUUUGGUCGUAAUUCACUAGACAAAUGCUUGAAUGGUGUUGAAGGGAAGAGAGUGCGAGUAGAAGACCUCUCCAAGCAUCUCACAGAUGAGUUAGAGGAUAAGAGGUACUUUAUUAUUCUUGAUGACUUGUGGAACAUACAAGAUUGGGAAUGGAUCGAAGAUUUUGCCAUUCCUAGUAGUAACCAGAAAGGUAGUCGGGUAAUAGUAACAACACGAGAUGUUGGCUUAGCUAACCAGAUUACUGUUAAAAAUUUCGUCUACCACCUUAAACCCCUAGACUCACUUGAUGCUACAGAAUUGCUACUAAGAAAGAGUAGAAAAAGACCGGAAGACAUGGAGAAAGAUGAGAACUUGAAGAAGACAGUUGAACAACUAGUUAAAAAGUGUGGGUGCUUACCGCUGGCUUUACUCACAGUAGGAGGCAUCCUUGCUACUAAAAAGAUAGCAGAGUGGGCACAAGUAUAUAACCAACUCCCCUCAGAGAUGGAGACCAACCCUAGCCUUGAGGCAAUGAGGAGUAUGGUUACUCUGAGUUAUAACUACUUGCCAUCUUAUCUUAAGUCAUGCUUUCUGUACUUAAGCAUCUUCCCUGAGGAUUAUGAAAUCCAGAUGAGGCGACUAGUAGAAAGAUGGAUUGCUGAGGGGUUUGUUAAAGCCAGGACUGGGGUGAACAUUGAGGACGUGGGAAAAGAUUACUUUAAUGAGUUAAUCAACCGAAGCAUCAUUCAACCUGCGCGGGUGAACAUAGAAGGGGUUGUUAAGAGCUGCCGAGUUCAUGGUUACAAUUCCCAGAAAUGA
Molecule: ribosomal RNA, 1524 nt
Filed under: Triticum aestivum (bread wheat)
Lineage: Eukaryota; Viridiplantae; Streptophyta; Magnoliopsida; Poales; Poaceae
Description: partial small subunit ribosomal RNA
Source: RNAcentral